RNAcentral lists this ribosomal RNA (119 nucleotides) under Sinocyclocheilus anshuiensis. Lineage: Eukaryota; Metazoa; Chordata; Actinopteri; Cypriniformes; Cyprinidae. The record is from RNAcentral.
GCUUACGGCCGUACCACCCUUUCUGUGCCUGAUCUCAUCUGAUCUCGGAAGCUAAGUAGGGUCGGUCCUGAUUGGUACUUGGAUGGGAGGCUGCCUGGGAAUACCAGGUGAUGUAAUCU